GGCAUGGUGGCUCAGUGGUUAGAGUGCCCGCCUCGUGAACGGGCGGUUGUGGGUUCGAACCCCGGCCGAGUCA
Non-coding RNA from Strongylocentrotus purpuratus (purple sea urchin), 73 nucleotides. The record is from Rfam. NCBI's taxonomy places the organism in Eukaryota, Metazoa, Echinodermata, Echinoidea, Camarodonta, Strongylocentrotidae.